UAUCAACGUCUUCCUUUUUUGCCUCUCUCUCUCUAUCUCUUCAUCUCCCAUUGGAACUAGAGGAGUUACUCAUGGCGGCCGUCUCACCGUGGCAAUCACCCGUACGGAAUCAGAAGCUGAACCCACUUUUGAAACUGGAUUUGGGGCAUGGGUUUUACAGAAGCUUGGAUUUUGGAUAUUUGAGGCCAACCCAAUCGAGGACUUUUGAAUGCAAGAAGCUGGCGGUCUCUGCCGCUAGCAACGACAAUGCAGCGUCUCUGACCGAGUCCACACCUACACUGACUCGGUCUAAGGUGAAACGCCAUACAAUUUCAGUGUUUGUUGGGGAUGAGAGUGGAAUAAUAAAUCGAAUUGCAGGGGUAUUUGCUAGGAGGGGUUACAACAUAGAGUCCCUUGCAGUUGGUUUGAACAAGGACAAGGCUCUCUUUACCAUAGUCGUCUCGGGUACCGAGAAGGUCUUGAGACAAGUCGUCGAACAGCUGAACAAGCUUGUGAAUGUCAUUAAGGUUGAAGAUAUCUCAAGAGAGUCACAAGUAGAACGUGAACUGAUGCUUAUAAAACUUAAUGCGGAACCCAACAGUCGUGCUGAGAUCAUGUGGUUGGUAGACAUCUUCAGGGCAAAAAUUGUUGAUACCUCCGAAGAUUCACUGACUAUUGAGGUCACUGGAGACCCUGGGAAGAUGGUUGCUGUUCAAAGAAACUUAAGCAAAUUUGGAAUCAAAGAACUUGCAAGAACUGGGAAGAUUGCAUUGCGACGAGAAAAGAUCGGUGAAACAGCUCCAUUCUGGGGAUUCUGUGCGGCGUCCUAUCCAGAUCUUGAACAACCACCUCCUGCUAAUGUUCUCGUAGAGAAAGCGAGCCAAUCACUUAAUGGUGUUGCCAGUACAUCCUCGAGUGGUGAUGUUUAUCCGGUGGAGCCAUACGAUGACUUGUCAAUGAAACAAAUUCUUGAUGCUCAUUGGGGUAUUCUCUAUGAUGAAGAUUCAAGUGGGCUUAGAUCACACACGUUGUCUAUGCUUGUGAAUGACUGUCCUGGAGUUCUCAACAUAGUUACUGGGGUUAUUUCUCGAAGAGGUUAUAACAUUCAGAGUUUGGCCGUGGGUCCUGCUGAGAAAGAGGGGCUUUCCCGCAUCACGACUGUUGUUCCUGGGACUGAUGAGUCAAUUGGCAAGUUGGUUCAACAACUGAUAAAGUUAAUAGAUCUUCAUGAGGUUCGGGAUAUCACUCACUUGCCAUUUGCUGAGAGAGAGCUUAUGUUGAUUAAGAUUGCUGUGAAUACUGCUGCUAGGAGGGAUGUCCUUGAUAUCGCUAACAUUUUCCGGGCCAAAGCUGUUGAUGUUUCUGAUCAUACCGUUACCCUAGAGCUUACAGGUGAUUUUAACAAGAUGGUUGCACUACAGAAGUUGUUAGAGCCCUAUGGGAUUUGUGAGGUGGCAAGGACCGGUAGGGUGGCAUUGGUUCGGGAGUCGGGGGUUGAUUCUACAUAUCUCCGUGGUUUCCCUCUUCCAGUGUAAUGCUGAGUCAUUGAGUAGCUCUAACAAUGAAGGAACAUGUUACGUCUCUUGAAGGGUGGAUCAAUGCUGACUUUAAAGUGCAGAAAAUGUGGUGCCUGUCGUAACUUAUACCUGUGUCCUCUCUUUGCACUUUAGAUCUUGUUUAUGUCUUCCUAAGCUUUUUGUCAGCUUUGUUUUAACCGAAUUGAUAGUAUUCUAGGGGAGAACUGCUCUCCAUCUCCAGCUGCUUUCUCGACAACCGUCACAAGAGCAUCAUGCUUGUAUGAGUGCUCAAAGCCACGGGCUGAUUUGACCGGAGGAGGGGGUGACAAUUCUGAUGGUAGUGGAUGGUGAGGUAUUUUGACUGGCAGAAAGCAGUAGAUCUAUCCCCAAGUGUCAAAGAACAAUGGAGAAAAACUAAGAAAAAAGAUAGAGAAAGGACAAGGAGAAGGUAGAAGAUGAGAGGGUGAGCAGGGAGAGUACUGAGCUAGGGAGACGAGAGGAGGAAGCUUCACUGUGUUUUACUGGUGAGUGGAGUUUUAAAGUAGGGGAGGUGACUUGGGAGCUGAGUUUGUGCCUCCAUAACAGUAAUUAAGGCUACUUUUGCUUCACCCACAUAUGGCUCGUUCAGUGAAAUCCUUGCCGUCCAAGCAUACAGACGGGUGCCAUUGGAGUUAUGGCUAGCUAAUGGCAGCCACCAUGUGGAAUUUGCUUGGGACGGCUACAUCAAAGUUAAAGUUUAAUAGUGUUUGGUAGGGGUAGAUCAUACCAUCUUUCACGAGUGGGAUGCUUUAUUUUCGAUGCUUCUUGUAAGUCUUUAAUUUUGACACAGUCGAUCCACUCAAGCAUUUCAAGAUCGAGUAGUUUGACCAUGACAAAUGUUGUUCCUGAGAAGCCAGAAAUGAAAUUGUAAAAUACCUUUUGUUUUUUGA
Carya illinoinensis is the source of this 2425-nucleotide RNA transcript. It is a transcript of the gene named acetolactate synthase small subunit 1, chloroplastic-like, with no coding region annotated. The transcript has 14 exons. The record is from RefSeq and is a predicted model, not a curated record. NCBI's taxonomy places the organism in Eukaryota, Viridiplantae, Streptophyta, Magnoliopsida, Fagales, Juglandaceae.